AGAGUUUGAUCCUGGCUCAGAACGAACGCUGGCGGCAUGCCUAACACAUGCAAGUCGGACGCUUUUGCGGUUUCGGCCGCAAGGGAGUGGCGGACGGGUGAGUAGCGCGUGGGAACCUGCCCCUCUGUGGGGGAUAACCGAGGGAAACUUCGGCUAAUACCGCAUGCGCCCCCGGAGUUGAUCCGGGGGGAAAGAUUUAUCGCAGAGGGAGGGGCCCGCGUCGGAUUAGGUAGUUGGUGGGGUAACGGCCCACCAAGCCGAUGAUCCGUAGCUGGUCUGAGAGGAUGAUCAGCCACACUGGGACUGAGACACGGCCCAGACUCCUACGGGAGGCAGCAGUGGGGAAUAUUGGACAAUGGGCGCAAGCCUGAUCCAGCAAUGCCGCGUGAGUGAUGAAGGCCUUAGGGUUGUAAAGCUCUUUCGGCGGGGACGAUGAUGACGGUACCCGCAGAGGAAGCCCCGGCUAACUUCGUGCCAGCAGCCGCGGUAAUACGAAGGGGGCGAGCGUUGUUCGGAUUUACUGGGCGUAAAGGGCGCGUAGGCGGCGGACCAAGUCGAGUGUGAAAGCCCCGGGCUC
This 577-nucleotide ribosomal RNA is filed under the name uncultured bacterium. RNAcentral's name for it is "bacterial SSU rRNA". It matches the Rfam family "Bacterial small subunit ribosomal RNA", at positions 8 to 610 of the family's 1533-position model. The record is from RNAcentral.